CUCUUAAAGUUAACCUGAAUCUAUUGCCGGAAUUCAACCAUAAGUUUAGGUGGAAAAGUUGUAUAGUAACUACAAAUGUGAAGUUGCGGAUGAAUUAUUGUUAGAAGUUGGCAUUAUUUUAUUUUCUAUACUUUGAAUAGCAACUGUUAAAGUGAAGUUACAUGUAUUUUUACUCAUUAUUUAAGACAUAAGGGUUGUAGUUGAUUGAUUCAAAAAAUUAUGUUAAUUUAUGACAUGCAUGUAAAUUAAUCGCUAUGUAGCAAAAAGAGUAGAAAAAACAAUGAACUAUCAACAAACAACAAUUUAAUGUAAUCGUAAUAUCAUACAAUUGUCAACAUAAUCAUUACAUAUUGUAUGACGUGAAGACCUGUGAUUUUCCUCCAUCGAACUGUGAUGCUUAAGAGUUACUCAAAUUAUUCCUUGGCUGUUCACGUAAUAAAUUUUCGAAAAGCACUUACGGCAGCGUGUGCUCGAGUAAAUAAAAGUGCAGAUAGCUCGGGUGAAGAAACGGUGGAUCAAGACGGUAAAGAAAAUGGAAGUCAGUCGAGAAGUGAAAAGAAAAACGGGAAGAAGAAAGGCAAAAGAAUUACUUUAAAAAAUGUUCAUUUAUAUUCCAAAAGUGCUGAUCAGCCUGUGAUUGAUCCAUCUGUCACUGAGUGAUAAUAAUUUUUAUUUCUUAUUGUUUAUCAUGAAACUUAAUUGUAUCGUUUUCUUUUUAUAAUAUCACUAGUUAUUUAUUGUUUAUUAUCGUUGUGUAGGUUUGAAAACCAUAAGUAAUUGACGUACUGUAAGUUGGUUAAUGUGCUCUAAUUUAUCAAUAAAAGAAAAUUUAAAA
This is a long non-coding RNA of Microplitis mediator, 835 nucleotides long. RefSeq lists it as uncharacterized. NCBI's taxonomy places the organism in Eukaryota, Metazoa, Arthropoda, Insecta, Hymenoptera, Braconidae. The record is from RefSeq and is a predicted model, not a curated record. The transcript has 4 exons.